CACACCGCCCGUCACAUCACGAAAGUAGGGUUGUACUAGAAGUCCGCAGGCCGACCGCAAGGGGACAGCGGCCCAAGGUAUGACUCAUGAUUGGGGUG
Molecule: ribosomal RNA, 98 nt
Filed under: uncultured bacterium
Lineage: Bacteria
Description: partial 16S ribosomal RNA
Source: RNAcentral